CGCUGGCGGCGUGCUUAACACAUGCAAGUCGAACGAUGAAGCCGGAGCUUGCUCCGGUGGAUUAGUGGCGAACGGGUGAGUAACACGUGAGCAAUCUGCCCUUGACUCUGGGAUAACUGCGGGAAACUGUAGCUAAUACCGGAUACGACACCUUGGGGCAUCCCAGGGUGUGGAAAGAAUUUCGGUCAAGGAUGAGCUCGCGGCCUAUCAGCUAGUUGGUGAGGUAAUGGCUCACCAAGGCGACGACGGGUAGCCGGCCUGAGAGGGUGACCGGCCACACUGGAACUGAGACACGGUCUAGACUCCUACGGGAGGCAGCAGUGGGGAAUAUUGCACAAUGGGCGAAAGCCUGAUGCAGCAACGCCGCGUGAGGGAUGAAGGCCUUCGGGUUGUAAACCUCUUUAGCAGGGAAGAAGCGAAAGUGACGGUACCUGCAGAAAAGCACCGGCUAACUACGUG
Molecule: ribosomal RNA, 459 nt
Filed under: uncultured bacterium
Lineage: Bacteria
Description: bacterial SSU rRNA
Rfam family: Bacterial small subunit ribosomal RNA
Source: RNAcentral